Molecule: ribosomal RNA, 421 nt
Filed under: Candidatus Omnitrophota bacterium
Lineage: Bacteria; Pseudomonadati; Candidatus Omnitrophota
Description: bacterial SSU rRNA
Rfam family: Bacterial small subunit ribosomal RNA
Source: RNAcentral
GACGGAGGGUUUGAUCCUGGCUCAGAGUGAACGCUGGCGGCGUGGAUAAGGCAUGCAAGUCGAGCGAUCCUUGACACGCAAGUGUCAAGGAUAGCGGCAAACGGGUGCGUAACGCGUGGGUAACCUACCCCACAGUGUGGGAUAACCCAACGAAAGCUGGGCUAAUACCACAUGCGCCCCGUCCUCUGCAUAGAGGGCGGGGGAAAGAUGGCGACCCGCAAGGGGCUAUCACUGAGGGAGGGACCUGCGUUCCAUCAGCUUGUUGGUAGGGUAACGGCCUACCAAGGCGAUGACGGAUAGCUAGCCUGAGAGGGCGGUUAGCCACACUGGGACUGAGACACUGCCCAGACUCCUACGGGAGGCUGCAGUCGAGAAUCUGUCGCAAUGGGGGCUACCCUGACGAUGCGACGCCGCGUGCGGG